RNAcentral lists this ribosomal RNA (482 nucleotides) under uncultured bacterium. RNAcentral's name for it is "partial 16S ribosomal RNA". It matches the Rfam family "Bacterial small subunit ribosomal RNA", at positions 30 to 507 of the family's 1533-position model. The record is from RNAcentral.
AUUGAACGCUGGCGGCAUGCCUUACACAUGCAAGUCGAACGGUAACGGGCCUUCGGGUGCCGACGAGUGGCGAACGGGUGAGUAAUACAUCGGAACGUGCCCGAUCGUGGGGGGUAACGAGGCGAAAGCUUUGCUAAUACCGCAUACGAUCUACGGAAGAAAGCAGGGGAGCGCAAGGGCUUGCGCGGACGGAGCGGUCGAUGGCAGAUUAGGUAGUUGGUGGGAUAAAAGCUUACCAAGCCGACGAUCUGUAGCUGGACUGAGAGGAUGAUCAGCCACACUGGGACUGAGACACGGCCCAGACUCCUACGGGAGGCAGCAGUGGGGAAUUUUGGACAAUGGGCGCAAGCCUGAUCCAGCAAUGCCGCGUGCAGGAUGAAGGCCUUCGGGUUGUAAACUGCUUUUGUACGGAACGAAAAGCCUUCUUUUAAUACAGGAGGGUCAUGACGGUACCGUAAGAAUAAGCACCGGCUAACUACGUG